UGUAAAUGUCCAAUAUAAAACAGGUCAUAUUUUCCAGCUACAUGCUCUAAUUGAACAACAGUGUUCAUAUUCAUUUUGCCAAACUUCACACUUCCAUGUGGUAAACACAAAUUAAAGGAUCCUUUCUGUUUCUUUUUUAAAAAUAUAUUUUAUUUAGCAAGCACAGCACCCCUGAUCCACAAGAACCGGUGCACCAGACGAGGUUGAUUUGAAGAGAAAACAGCAGGUAGAUCUUUGCAUCAGUAUAUAUUAUGUUAUCAUGAAGCUGAGUUCUUCUAUGUUCAACAUCAGGGUGAAAAUCAACUUUGUGUUUGACCUAUGAUGAAAGUUUUAGGUUUUGCAAUGAAGAAGCUGGCAGGACCCAAAAGCAGCAACAGGGAGAGUCUCUUCAGAUGGAGUGAAUUUAUUUACACUGUGCAAAAAUCCCAUCAACCACUGGGUCACAGGAACAAGGAAGUCAGAACAAGGACCAUAGCACUUCAUAGCCACAGCCCACCACUAACAUGUAUACAGCACAUCGAUCCCACAAAGACAGUGUGAGGGAGAGAGGUAUAUAUACACAGAGCACCAGGUGACACCAGUGAGACUGAUGACAGACACAGGUGAGGGUGAUCACACUGAUUAACACACAGAAGACAGCAGGACCAGGGAACAGACAGACCUCACAGUGUCCCUGUCAGGCCAUCACCAUCCUGAAGAUGACUCCUCACCCCUGUCAAACUUCAGUGAUGCCAAACAAGCCGGGCCUCUAACCUGCAGCUGAAACUCCACAAACACAUGCUGGGAGAGUCCCGAGCUUGUCAGUCACUGGACACCAUCUGAUACGAUGAAAGCUGUUUCAUCAGCAUGUGAUAGAUCCAGAGCUCUCUGCUGCAUUCAUU
Long non-coding RNA from Cynoglossus semilaevis (tongue sole), 881 nucleotides. RefSeq lists it as uncharacterized. The record is from RefSeq and is a predicted model, not a curated record. NCBI's taxonomy places the organism in Eukaryota, Metazoa, Chordata, Actinopteri, Pleuronectiformes, Cynoglossidae. The transcript has 3 exons.